UCUAGGAGCAUUGAGACAUUUGAGUUCUGUUAACUGAUAAUUCUGUGCAAAUUGAAGUUGGGAUGAGUCAAAUCUGCAGCAAUCCUUGUGUGUAUGUUUAUGGUUGGUGGAUUUUCAUUUGGGUUAUGUGAACUUACAUCAGCAACAUAAUACAUUGAUAAAUUUGAAUUUGACCAUGUAGUGGUGAUCAUGAAGAAUUUGGUCGUGUGCGUGCAGGUGUUUUAUACUGGAGUUCGCUAGGAUCACUGUCUGUGGCACGCUAAGGUGAAAUGGGAUAAUUUUGACAGUGGCAGACCUUAAUGCAAAAGAGUCGCCUUGUGUAUUUUAUUGGUGAAAAAAGCAACCUGGAAGUUUUUAUGGUUGAAGAAACAGAAUUGAAUGUUAGAACCUCUGAGGCGUCCCUUUCUGUAGAUGUAUUGUCGUUUGUGAAUGCAAAUGUCUUAGAUCUAUUGCUUUACAUUGCAUCUAUGAAAAUGGGCAACACUUGUUAAGAGGAUAUUGUAAGUAGCCUAGAUAGUUGAGCUGUUUCUUCUAUGAAAAUGAGAAGAAAUCUGUAUGAUUAUUAAUUUUGAUUCUUGCUGAGCGCGUUUGUUUCUUUCACAUUGGAAAAUUUGGGAAGCCUACAUGUGAAGACAAUACAAAUCUUAGGCUUCAAUAUUUUCCUAGAAAAUAUGUUUUC
RNAcentral lists this unclassified non-coding RNA (679 nucleotides) under Hevea brasiliensis (rubber tree). Lineage: Eukaryota; Viridiplantae; Streptophyta; Magnoliopsida; Malpighiales; Euphorbiaceae. The record is from RNAcentral.